This 1357-nucleotide ribosomal RNA is filed under the name uncultured bacterium. RNAcentral's name for it is "bacterial SSU rRNA". It matches the Rfam family "Bacterial small subunit ribosomal RNA", at positions 8 to 1362 of the family's 1533-position model. The record is from RNAcentral.
AGAGUUUGAUUCUGGCUCAGGAUGAACGCUAGCGACAGGCUUAACACAUGCAAGUCGAGGGGCAGCACAGGUAGCAAUACCGGGUGGCGACCGGCGCACGGGUGAGUAACGCGUAUGCAACUUACCUAUCAGAGGGGGAUAACCCGGCGAAAGUCGGACUAAUACCGCAUGAAGCAGGGGUCCCGCAUGGGGAUAUUUGCUAAAGAUUCAUCGCUGAUAGAUAGGCAUGCGUUCCAUUAGGCAGUUGGCGGGGUAACGGCCCACCAAACCGACGAUGGAUAGGGGUUCUGAGAGGAAGGUCCCCCACAUUGGUACUGAGACACGGACCAAACUCCUACCGGAGGCAGCAGUGAAGGAAUAUUGGUCAAUGGGCGUAAGCCUGAACCAGCCAAGUCGCGUGAGGGAUGAAGGUUCUAUGGAUCGUAAACCUCUUUUAUAAGGGAAUAAAGUGCGGGACGUGUCCCGUUUUGUAUGUACCUUAUGAAUAAGGAUCGGCUAACUCCGUGCCAGCAGCCGCGGUAAUACGGAGGAUCCGAGCGUUAUCCGGAUUUAUUGGGUUUAAAGGGUGCGUAGGCGGCCUUUUAAGUCAGCGGUGAAAGUCUGUGGCUCAACCAUAGAAUUGCCGUUGAAACUGGGAGGCUUGAGUAUGUUUGAGGCAGGCGGAAUGCGUGGUGUAGCGGUGAAAUGCUUAGAUAUCACGCAGAACCCCGAUUGCGAAGGCAGCCUGCCAAGCCAUGACUGACGCUGAUGCACGAAAGCGUGGGGAUCAAACGGGAUUAGAUACCCUGGUAGUCCACGCAGUAAACGAUAAAGGGUAGCUGUUUGCGAUACAGUGUAAGCGGCACAGCGAAAGCGUUAAGUGAUCCACCUGGGGAGUACGCCGGCAACGGUGAAACUCAAAGGAAUUGACGGGGGCCCGCACAAGCGGAGGAACAUGUGGUUUAAUUCGAUGAUACGCGAGGAACCUUACCCGGGUUUGAACGCAUUCGGACCGAGGUGGAAACACCUUUUCUAGCAAUAGCCGUUUGCGAGGUGCUGCAUGGUUGUCGUCAGCUCGUGCCGUGAGGUGUCGGCUUAAGUGCCAUAACGAGCGCAACCCUUGCCACUAGUUACUAACAGGUGAUGCUGAGGACUCUGGUGGGACUGCCAGCGUAAGCUGCGAGGAAGGCGGGGAGGACGUCAAAUCAGCACGGCCCUUACAUCCGGGGCGACACACGUGUUACAAUGGCGUGGACAAAGGGAUGCCACCUGGCGACAGGGAGCGAAUCCCCAAACCACGUCUCAGUUCGGAUCGGAGUCUGCAACCCGACUCCGUGAAGCUGGAUUCGCUAGUAAUCGCGCAUCAGCCAUGGCGCGG